UACGUAGGGGGCAAGCGUUGUCCGGAAUUAUUGGGCGUAAAGCGCGCGCAGGCGGUUAUGUAAGUCUGAUGUAUAAACUUAGGGGUCAACCCUGGGGUGCAUUGGAAACUGGAUGACUGGAGUGUAGGAGAGGGAAGUGGAAUUCCACGUGUAGCGGUGAAAUGCGUAGAGAUGUGGAGGAACACCAGUGGCGAAGGCGGCUCUCUGGUCCGAUACUGACGCUGAGGUGCGAAAGCGUGGGGAGCAAACAGG
Molecule: ribosomal RNA, 252 nt
Filed under: uncultured bacterium
Lineage: Bacteria
Description: partial 16S ribosomal RNA
Rfam family: Bacterial small subunit ribosomal RNA
Source: RNAcentral